This 75-nucleotide transfer RNA is filed under the name Actinomycetota bacterium. RNAcentral's name for it is "tRNA-Arg". It matches the Rfam family "tRNA". From Rfam's summary of the family: Transfer RNA (tRNA) molecules are approximately 80 nucleotides in length. The record is from RNAcentral. Lineage: Bacteria; Bacillati; Actinomycetota.
GCGCCCGUAGCUCAGUCUGGAUAGAGCAAUGGACUUCUAAUCCAUGGGCCGCAGGUUCGAAUCCUGCCGGGCGCA